Molecule: ribosomal RNA, 464 nt
Filed under: uncultured bacterium
Lineage: Bacteria
Description: partial 16S ribosomal RNA
Rfam family: Bacterial small subunit ribosomal RNA
Source: RNAcentral
CUACGGGGUGCUCCAGUGGGGAAUUUUGGACAAUGGGCGAAAGCCUGAUCCAGCAAUGCCGCGUGUGCGAAGAAGGCCUUCGGGUUGUAAAGCACUUUUGUCAGGGAAGAAAUCGUUUGGGUUAAUACCCCGAGCAGUUGACGGUACCUGAAGAAUAAGCACCGGCUAACUACGUGCCAGCAGCCGCGGUAAUACGUAGGGUGCAAGCGUUAAUCGGAAUUACUGGGCGUAAAGCGUGCGCAGGUGGUUUGUUAAGACAGUUGUGAAAUCCCCGGGCUUAACCUGGGAACUGCAAUUGUGACUGGCAGACUAGAGUGAGGCAGAGGGGGGCGGAAUUCCUGGUGUAGCAGUGAAAUGCGUAGAUAUCAGGAGGAACACCGAUGGCGAAGGCAGCCCCCUGGGCCAUCACUGACACUCAUGCACGAAAGCGUGGGGAGCAAACAGGAUUAGAUACCCUGGUAGUC